UGGGGAAUAUUGCACAAUGGGCGCAAGCCUGAUGCAGCCAUGCCGCGUGUAUGAAGAAGGCCUUCGGGUUGUAAAGUACUUUCAGCGGGGAGGAAGGCGAUAAGGUUAAUAACCUUGUCGAUUGACGUUACCCGCAGAAGAAGCACCGGCUAACUCCGUGCCAGCAGCCGCGGUAAUACGGAGGGUGCAAGCGUUAAUCGGAAUUACUGGGCGUAAAGCGCACGCAGGCGGUCUGUCAAGUCGGAUGUGAAAUCCCCGGGCUCAAGCGGGGAACUGCAUUCGAAACUGGCAGGCUAGAGUCUUGUAGAGGGGGGUAGAAUUCCAGGUGUAGCGGUGAAAUGCGUAGAGAUCUGGAGGAAUACCGGUGGCGAAGGCGGCCCCCUGGACAAAGACUGACGCUCAGGUGCGAAAGCGUGGGGAGCAAACA
RNAcentral lists this ribosomal RNA (427 nucleotides) under uncultured bacterium. RNAcentral's name for it is "partial 16S ribosomal RNA". It matches the Rfam family "Bacterial small subunit ribosomal RNA", at positions 355 to 774 of the family's 1533-position model. The record is from RNAcentral.